Zingiber officinale is the source of this 752-nucleotide long non-coding RNA. RefSeq lists it as uncharacterized. The record is from RefSeq and is a predicted model, not a curated record. NCBI's taxonomy places the organism in Eukaryota, Viridiplantae, Streptophyta, Magnoliopsida, Zingiberales, Zingiberaceae. The transcript is spliced from 3 exons.
UUCCAAAUUUGGGAGAAGGAAGGAACAAAAGAUUAAAUCGCUUACGCUUCAUCCACCCAAGGAAGGUUCUUCUAUUCUUUGCAGCCAUAAGGAGUUUCAUCAUCUUGGUCUUGGAAGGACAAGAAAAUAAAUCCAAAUGUGGAUUUCGACGACAUUCAAUUUAUCAAUGAUGAGCUAGAGCAAGUUUUGACACUCAGGACACAAGGAAGUAUAGAUACUUCUAAGGUCCAGCCUUGGGACAAUAGUUCUCAUAUAUUUCACGCUGGCAAUCAACCAAAGAGGCAAAGAUUAAUUUCAGACCUGUUUCAACCUCAGUUUUAUUGUCUGAAGGGGCCAGCAAGAUAACACAUGAAGCCAUUUAUUCCCACAGGGAUGCUCAUAGACGUGCGCUCACUUCUUUUCAUCUUGUUGGUUGCAUUGAUCAUUGAAGUUGAAGGAAAAGUAAACACACUGCAACAUUGUAUAGAUAUUUGUGUGAGAGAUCUGUCUGCUAGAAUUCCUACUGUAGUGAUCAUUCUGAAUUCAGUUUUUAGAGGUCGUGUGGAUUUGUAAAUGUUAAAUCAGUAGGAUCACUGGUGAUGUCAGUUCCAGUACAGGCUUUUGCUACUCGUGUACUUCAAAAAUUGUGUCUAUUUAGUAAACUCUCAAUCUUCUUUUAAGGUUUCCAGCACUAUAUCCUCAUGUUAGCACAUGGUUCCUUUCUUAUUUAUUUUCACUAUAUAUUUGAGACUGUUGAUCCCACAAGUACAUCU